GACACGCAUACCAGCGCAAAAGUCGAGCGCAGCGAAAAUGCGGCGAAAAAGAGGCAGCUGAGAGAGCGGCGAAUACGAAUACUUGGACAUAUUUAUCGAUUGAGUGGCAAAGAAGAAGAGCACAAGAGAGCGGCAGACAACUGGUCGCUUAAUUAAUUUGCUGAAAUAAACAUCUUGGGCUUUGUUCUGAAACGGAUCAGGAGCACAGAAAUUACAUUCUGAGUAACUAACGAAGGAAGUAACAAGAAAACAUCUAACUAGAUUUCGAUUAUCACUGCCCCACUAUGCGCACUUAUAAUUCCCAAUCGGCUGUAAAAUUGAAUGAAAGGAUAUGCCAGGAUUUUGGAUCCUUCGCUGCAGUGGGGAUGGAUAUUCGUUAAGGAUCUGGCUCUACUUACUGCAUGUUUUGACGCCGCCCAGCACCAAACUCGGCGACUGUUUGUUGCCCUCGGCGAAGGAGGAAGUUCUUGGACGACCGCUCAUCGUAACGCCUGCUGCUGCUUUGCUUCCGGUGCUCCUUCCUUGGUCGGCUUUUAUAACUCUUUGGAGCUGGCUUGCUGUUGGUUCUGAAGUGAUUAUCUCAGCUAAUUGGUAGCUCAGCUGGCUUCGAUAUAUCUGCGUUGCUCGUGGCCGCGGUGUUGUUAUUGCUGCGAUUUCGGUUUUAUUGCCACUACAAAAUAACGAGUAUGUCAAAAAAACCACGUUUUACAGCUACUUCUUCGGCUGCUGCGUUUUUCUACUGCACUGCAAGGCCAUUGGCAUGCAGCAGUGUUGUUUCGAGUAUUUUGGCAAGAAUCAACUUAGUUCUGUAUUUCCGGCUUCUCUUUUCAAACACACAAACUCGUCAACGGCUCAACAAUUGUAACUGUUCAUUGG
Long non-coding RNA from Drosophila simulans, 876 nucleotides. RefSeq lists it as uncharacterized. The record is from RefSeq and is a predicted model, not a curated record. Lineage: Eukaryota; Metazoa; Arthropoda; Insecta; Diptera; Drosophilidae. The transcript is spliced from 3 exons.